GGCGACGAUGGUGGAGCGGGCCCGGGCGGGUCUGUCCUGCCCGCCGGAGGACCCGACGGCGCUGGCGGACCGGUUCUGGCUGGCCGCCGCCA
This 92-nucleotide transfer RNA is filed under the name Micromonospora sagamiensis. RNAcentral's name for it is "tRNA-Asp". The record is from RNAcentral. Lineage: Bacteria; Bacillati; Actinomycetota; Actinomycetes; Micromonosporales; Micromonosporaceae.